UUCAUGUUAAGAGUCAAGAACGUUCUUCAGGAGACACUCUAGAGAUGAUCUCUUCUCCAGGAUUAGUGGCUGUGAUACUCUUCCUGCUGGGACAAACCCGUGGAGACUCAGUGAGCCAGAUGGACGGCCAAGUGACCCUUUUGCAAGGGGCUACCUUGACUGUGAACUGUACUUAUUCAGCCACCGGGUACCCCACUCUUUUCUGGUAUGUCCAGUAUCCUGGAAAAGGUCCAGAACUCCUCCUGAAAGCCACGAAGGUCAACGACAAGAGAACCAACAAAGGUUUUGAAGCCACAUACAAUGCAAAAACCACCUCCUUCCACUUGGAGAAAGCCUCGGUCCAGGAGUCAGACUCGGCUGUGUACUACUGCGCUCUGGGUGACACAGUGAUGGAAACUGCAGGGGGAGCUGAGUGCAAACUCUGAGCAGCGACGGGGCC
Dama dama (fallow deer) is the source of this 439-nucleotide non-coding RNA. The record is from the annotation of a RefSeq genome assembly. NCBI's taxonomy places the organism in Eukaryota, Metazoa, Chordata, Mammalia, Artiodactyla, Cervidae.